RNAcentral lists this ribosomal RNA (219 nucleotides) under uncultured bacterium. RNAcentral describes it as "partial 16S ribosomal RNA". It matches the Rfam family "Bacterial small subunit ribosomal RNA", at positions 328 to 539 of the family's 1533-position model. The record is from RNAcentral.
ACGCUCGACACCUACGGGAGGUAGCAGUGAGGAAUAUUGGUCAAUGGGCGCUAGCCUGAACCAGCCAAGUAGCGUGAAGGAUGAAGGCUCUAUGGGUCGUAAACUUCUUUUAUAUAAGAAUAAAGUGCAGUAUGUAUACUGUUUUGUAUGUAUUAUAUGAAUAAGGAUCGGCUAACUCCGUGUCAGCAGCCGCGGUAAUCUGAGGCGGGCUGGCAAGGC